GCCGGGUGCGGUGGCACGUGCCUGGAGUCCCAGCUAUUAGGGAGGCUGAGGCUGGAGGAUCUCAUGAGUCCAGGAGUUCUGGGCUGUAGUGCGCUAUGCCGAUCGGGUGUCCACACUAAGUUCGGCAUCAAUAUGGUGAUCUCCCAGGAACAGGGGACCACCAAGGUUGCCUAAGGAGUGGGAAACUGGCCCAGGUUGGAAACAGAGGAGAUCAAAAUUCCCGUGCUGGUCAGUAAUGGGAUUGUGCCUGUGAAUAGCCACUGCACUCCAGCCUGGGCAACAUAGCGAGACCCAGUCUCUU
This is an unclassified non-coding RNA of Callithrix jacchus (white-tufted-ear marmoset), 301 nucleotides long. It matches the Rfam family "Metazoan signal recognition particle RNA". Rfam says of the family: The signal recognition particle (SRP) is a universally conserved ribonucleoprotein. It is involved in the co-translational targeting of proteins to membranes. NCBI's taxonomy places the organism in Eukaryota, Metazoa, Chordata, Mammalia, Primates, Cebidae. The record is from Ensembl.